Long non-coding RNA from Mytilus californianus (California mussel), 974 nucleotides. RefSeq lists it as uncharacterized. The transcript is spliced from 4 exons. The record is from RefSeq and is a predicted model, not a curated record. Lineage: Eukaryota; Metazoa; Mollusca; Bivalvia; Mytilida; Mytilidae.
GAUCCUUCUUUCUAUAUUUUUGCUUUUCAACUAUCUAUAUAUUUUUUUUGUGUCCUUAUUUAAAUCCCCAUUCUUGAUUCCAGACUAACUCUCAUAUAUAUACGUAAAUAUACGAAAGCUUGGCACGUCGAAUACGGAAACCCGGAAAUCUUUUCACCGUUGUCGUUUUUAUACUAUGACGCAAAAUCCAUGGACGCUCGUCUGCUGCUGAAUUCAUGUUUUAAAAGAAUGGACAAAGAUAGUCAGAUAGUUGAUACAAAGACCUUUGAUUUUUCAAACUGAUGGAUCAAAAGUUAUUAUAAACAGAUAUAUUGAAAUGGCUUUUUCAACGAAAGUACAAUUACUUUGAGAAGUAGGAGAAGCUAAGCAACAGGACAGAAUUCAUUUGAGGCAUUGCUUUCUAGAUUAUAUAGUGGAGUCAUAGAUUGUCCUAUUGAUUUAUGUGGAUAUGAGGAGCAGUAGUCAAUGAAUAAUUUUGUGAUGAGAGAAUUAGCUCCUCAGAUGUAAGUGGAAGGGAAGCUAUAUACAUUAUAUGUUUAAAUGAAAUUAACAACAGGAUUACAUAUUGAGGAGAUCCUAUAGCUACAGUAUAUAUAAAUGUAACUGCAACUGUAUUCCAAGAGUCUGAUGGCUGAUAAUGUAUUACAGGAUUUUAUCAUUCAAGCAACAUCUUAGAAGGAUAAGUGCAAAUGUAUGAAGGAAGACUUGGGUACAAAUAGCAAUUACAGCAAUUACAUGCAGAAGAGAACUCUUAACAUUACUAACAGACAUGUAGUCAUUAUAUGGGAGUGGUGUAUUCAAGAAAUCUAAAACACAUGGAAUUAAAUAUCGUGUAUAUUUUUUCAACCACAAGUACUCUCAGAAUAUAAUACAAUUCAAAUUCAAAUUAUUGUGCCAACAUGACAAUUACAGUCUAAAAAUGGAAAAUGCAUGUUUUAAACUGAUUUUUAUAUAAAUAUUUGAAAUAACAAGAA